UCUGUCCUCAGGGUCUCGCCACGGAUCACGUACGCCUGGGAUAUAUAGGGCACAUUCCACACGCCCCUGGAGGCACCCGCACCGGGGUCAGCUCCACGUAGUCCUCGGACCGAGCGUAGUACUCGUCGGGGCUCAGGGCUCCCCAGAAGUUGGACCACAGCUUCCCGUGGCGGGACAGCAUGGGCGCUAUCACCUUCCUGUGGAUGGGCAGAGGAUGCGCAGGGUCUGCUGGUUGGUGAUGACGGCGUCAGCAUCCAGGCUGAAGUAGAAUUCGCACUCGGGGUCCUGCCGACAGCUGUCCCUGGAGCCCGAAGGCGCCUGGAACAUCCCAAGCCCCACCACUCUUGGCCCCUCAGCCUUGGGCACUCUGCCACUCACCACCAGAGUUGAG
Long non-coding RNA from Panthera uncia (snow leopard), 391 nucleotides. RefSeq lists it as uncharacterized. The record is from RefSeq and is a predicted model, not a curated record. Lineage: Eukaryota; Metazoa; Chordata; Mammalia; Carnivora; Felidae. The transcript has 4 exons.